RNAcentral lists this unclassified non-coding RNA (336 nucleotides) under soil metagenome. RNAcentral's name for it is "partial contains 5.8S ribosomal RNA, internal transcribed spacer 2, and large subunit ribosomal RNA". The stretch from base 1 to 120 matches the Rfam family "5.8S ribosomal RNA", at positions 35 to 154 of the family's 154-position model. The record is from RNAcentral.
GAUGAAGAACGUAGCGAAAUGCGAUAAGUAAUGUGAAUUGCAGAAUUCAGUGAAUCAUCGAAUCUUUGAACGCACAUUGCGCCCGCCAGUAUUCUGGCGGGCAUGCCUGUUCGAGCGUCAUUUCAACCAUCAAGCCCCCGGCUUGUGUUGGGGACCUGCGGCUGCCGCAGGCCCUGAAAACCAGUGGCGGGCUCGCUAGUCACUCCGAGCGUAGUAAUAUAUCUCGCUCAGGGCGUGCUGCGGGUUCCGGCCGUUAAAAAAGCCUUAUUUACCCAAGGUUGACCUCGGAUCAGGUAGGAAGACCCGCUGAACUUAAGCAUAUCAAUAAGCGGAGGA